CGGAUUGAAGGCUGAAAUUCGCCUUCAUGAAGCCGGAAUUGCUAGUAAUGGCAGGUCAGCAUACUGCCGUGAAUACGUUCCCGGGCCUUGUACACACCGCCCGUCACACCAUGAGAGUUGGGAAUACCCGAAGCCUGUGAGCUAACUAUACGAGGCAGCAGUCGAAGGUAGAAUCAAUGAUUGGGGUGAAGUCGUAACAAGGUAUC
This 206-nucleotide ribosomal RNA is filed under the name uncultured bacterium. RNAcentral describes it as "partial 16S ribosomal RNA". It matches the Rfam family "Bacterial small subunit ribosomal RNA", at positions 1294 to 1500 of the family's 1533-position model. The record is from RNAcentral.